UCGUGGAGCAGGUGGUGUGCACAAGCUAGACGAGCAGCCGCGGCAGCGAGGACAGGCGAGCAGACUGGUCACUGGAACCGCCGUAUAGAGGCGCGGUGACCGGCCUGGCCCUCGCGCGGGCUCUCAAGCAGUGACCGACGCGUGCGUUCCGUCCCCCCACGCGGCGGCGCCGCUAGUUUGAGCUAAAGAUGUGAUUAAGGAGAUUGAAGAGUUUGAUGGCCUGGAAGCUCUACGACUGGAGGGGAACACAGUGGGCGUGGAAGCGGCCAGAGUCAUCGCCAAGGCCUUAGAGAAGAAGUCCAAGCUGAAGCGAUGCCAUUGGAGUGACAUGUUCACCGGAAGGCUU
This 346-nucleotide long non-coding RNA is filed under the name Rattus norvegicus (Norway rat). RNAcentral describes it as "long non-coding RNA NONRATT027150". The record is from RNAcentral. Lineage: Eukaryota; Metazoa; Chordata; Mammalia; Rodentia; Muridae.